UGGGGAAUAUUGGACAAUGGGGGGAACCCUGAUCCAGCCAUGCCGCGUGUGUGAAGAAGGCCUUAUGGUUGUAAAGCACUUUAAGCGAGGAGGAGGGUACUGGUAUUAAUACUACCAGGUACUGGACGUUACUCGCAGAAUAAGCACCGGCUAACUCUGUGCCAGCAGCCGCGGUAAUACAGAGGGUGCGAGCGUUAAUCGGAUUUACUGGGCGUAAAGCGUGCGUAGGCGGCUAAUUGAGUCGGAUGUGAAAUCCCCGAGCUUAACUUGGGAAUUGCAUUCGAUACUGGUUAGCUAGAGUGUGGGAGAGGAUGGUAGAAUUCCAGGUGUAGCGGUGAAAUGCGCAGAGAUCUGGAGGAAUACCGAUGGCGAAGGCAGCCAUCUGGCCUAACACUGACGCUGAGGUACGAAAGCAUGGGGAGCAAACAGG
Molecule: ribosomal RNA, 430 nt
Filed under: Pseudomonadota bacterium
Lineage: Bacteria; Pseudomonadati; Pseudomonadota
Description: Proteobacteria bacterium partial 16S ribosomal RNA
Rfam family: Bacterial small subunit ribosomal RNA
Source: RNAcentral